Long non-coding RNA from Dermochelys coriacea (leatherback sea turtle), 149 nucleotides. RefSeq lists it as uncharacterized. The transcript is spliced from 3 exons. Lineage: Eukaryota; Metazoa; Chordata; Testudines; Dermochelyidae. The record is from RefSeq and is a predicted model, not a curated record.
UUACUAUAACAAUGCUCAGUGCAUCCUGAGCCUUCCAAAGACACCUGAAAUGACAAACUUUGCAUUGGAUAUCACACAAUCAUAUUAUAAGGAUGAACAUGGGGGUGCAGUGUGUUCCCCUGAGAUACAGAGCAACACACUUGUUUAUU